Molecule: ribosomal RNA, 492 nt
Filed under: uncultured bacterium
Lineage: Bacteria
Description: partial 16S ribosomal RNA
Rfam family: Bacterial small subunit ribosomal RNA
Source: RNAcentral
AGUGAACGCUGGCGGUAGGCCUAACACAUGCAAGUCGAACGGCAGCACAGUAAGAGCUUGCUCUUACGGGUGGCGAGUGGCGGACGGGUGAGGAAUACAUCGGAAUCUACUUUUUCGUGGGGGAUAACGUAGGGAAACUUACGCUAAUACCGCAUACGACCUACGGGUGAAAGCAGGGGAUCUUCGGACCUUGCGCGAUUGAAUGAGCCGAUGUCGGAUUAGCUAGUUGGCGGGGUAAAGGCCCACCAAGGCGACGAUCCGUAGCUGGUCUGAGAGGAUGAUCAGCCACACUGGAACUGAGACACGGUCCAGACUCCUACGGGAGGCAGCAGUGGGGAAUAUUGGACAAUGGGCGCAAGCCUGAUCCAGCCAUACCGCGUGGGUGUAGAAGGCCUUCGGGUUGUAAAGCCCUUUUGUUGGGAAAGAAAAGCAGCAGGUUAAUACCCCGCUGUUCUGACGGUACCCAAAGAAUAAGCACUGGCUAACUUCGUG